UUUUAUUUGAGAGUUUGAUCCUGGCUCAGGAUGAACGCUGGCGGCGUGCCUAACACAUGCAAGUUGAGCGAUUUACUUCGGUAAAGAGCGGCGGACGGGUGAGUAACGCGUGGGUAACCUACCCUGUACACACGGAUAACAUACCGAAAGGUAUGCUAAUACGGGAUAAUAUAUUUGAGAGGCAUCUCUUAAAUAUCAAAGGUGAGCCAGUACAGGAUGGACCCGCGUCUGAUUAGCUAGUUGGUAAGGUAACGGCUUACCAAGGCGACGAUCAGUAGCCGACCUGAGAGGGUGAUCGGCCACAUUGGAACUGAGACACGGUCCAAACUCCUACGGGAGGCAGCAGUGGGGAAUAUUGCACAAUGGGCGAAAGCCUGAUGCAGCAACGCCGCGUGAGUG
RNAcentral lists this ribosomal RNA (399 nucleotides) under Clostridioides difficile. Its description in RNAcentral is "bacterial SSU rRNA". It matches the Rfam family "Bacterial small subunit ribosomal RNA", at positions 1 to 407 of the family's 1533-position model. Lineage: Bacteria; Bacillati; Bacillota; Clostridia; Peptostreptococcales; Peptostreptococcaceae. The record is from RNAcentral.